This 407-nucleotide ribosomal RNA is filed under the name uncultured bacterium. RNAcentral describes it as "partial 16S ribosomal RNA". It matches the Rfam family "Bacterial small subunit ribosomal RNA", at positions 30 to 526 of the family's 1533-position model. The record is from RNAcentral.
AUUGAACGCUGGCGGCAGGCCUAACACAUGCAAGUCGAGCGGAGCGGCGGACGGGUGAGUAAUGCCUAGGAAUCUGCCUGGUAGUGGGGGAUAACGUCCGGAAACGGGCGCUAAUACCGCAUACUAUCAGAUGAGCCUAGGUCGGAUUAGCUAGUUGGUGGGGUAAAGGCCUACCCAGGCGACGAUCCGCAACUGGUCUGAGAGGAUGAUCAGUCACACUGGAACUGUGACACGGUCCAGAAUCCUACGGGAGGCAGCAGUGGGGAAGAUUGGACAAUGGGCGAAAGCCUGAUCCAGCCAGGCCGCGUGUGUGAAGAAGGUCUUCGGAUGGUAAAGCACGUUAAGUUGGGAGGCGGUACCAACAGAAUAAGCACCGGCGAACUUCUUGCCAGCCGCCGCGGUAAUAC